UGGGGAAUUUUGGACAAUGGGGGCAACCCUGAUCCAGCCAUGCCGCGUGAGUGAAGAAGGCCUUCGGGUUGUAAAGCUCUUUCAGAUGGGAAGAAAACGCUCGGGCUAAUACCCCGAGUGGAUGACGGUACCAUACCAAGAAGCACCGGCUAACUACGUGCCAGCAGCCGCGGUAAUACGUAGGGUGCGAGCGUUAAUCGGAAUUACUGGGCGUAAAGCGUGCGCAGGCGGCUAGAUAAGACAGAUGUGAAAUCCCCGGGCUUAACCUGGGAACUGCGUUUGUGACUGUCUAGCUCGAGUACGGCAGAGGGGGGUGGAAUUCCUGGUGUAGCAGUGAAAUGCGUAGAUAUCAGGAGGAACACCGAUGGCGAAGGCAGCCCCCUGGGCCUGUACUGACGCU
This 400-nucleotide ribosomal RNA is filed under the name uncultured bacterium. Its description in RNAcentral is "bacterial SSU rRNA". It matches the Rfam family "Bacterial small subunit ribosomal RNA", at positions 355 to 747 of the family's 1533-position model. The record is from RNAcentral.